This 641-nucleotide ribosomal RNA is filed under the name uncultured Basidiomycota. RNAcentral describes it as "eukaryotic LSU rRNA". The stretch from base 125 to 278 matches the Rfam family "5.8S ribosomal RNA". Lineage: Eukaryota; Fungi; Basidiomycota. The record is from RNAcentral.
UGCGGAAGGAUCAUUAGUGAACGCCCUCACGGGCUUAUAACUAUUCCAAACCUCUGUGAACCGUGCCCUUCGGGGCUAUUUUACAAACAUGGUGUAAUGAACGUCAUAUAUCAUAACAAAACAAAACUUUCAACAACGGAUCUCUUGGCUCUCGCAUCGAUGAAGAACGCAGCGAAAUGCGAUAAGUAAUGUGAAUUGCAGAAUUCAGUGAAUCAUCGAAUCUUUGAACGCACCUUGCGCCCUCUGGUAUUCCGGAGGGCAUGCCUGUUUGAGUGUCAUGUAGACUCAAUCCCUCGGGUUUCCGAGGAGAUUGGACUUGGGUGUUGCCGCUCCGCCCGCUCCCCUUAAAAGAAUUAACCGGAUAACACCCUAAUCGGAGUAAUAAGUUUCGUCGGGGAAAGGUGGGAAGAAUGGUUACAAUCCCCCUCGGGCAAUUUUUUGAUCUUAACUCCAAUCCAGGAAGAAUUCCCGCUGAACUUUAGCCUUUCAAAAAACCGAAGAAAAAAAACUAACCAGGGUUCCCCUAAUAACCGCCAACCAAACGGGAAAAACUUCAAAUUGGAAAGCGGCCUCCUUCCGGCCUUCCCCUUGGAAACUUUUGAAGCCUUUUCCGGGCCGGAACGUGGAAAAAACCCCCAGGA